Non-coding RNA from Phalacrocorax carbo (great cormorant), 8361 nucleotides. Lineage: Eukaryota; Metazoa; Chordata; Aves; Suliformes; Phalacrocoracidae. The record is from RefSeq and is a predicted model, not a curated record.
CUCUCCUCCUCCCCCCCACCCCACACGCCUUCGGGUGCGAUCGGAGAGCUCGGGCCCGGUUCGGCCGCUUUCGGGCGGAUUCGGGCACUGCCCGUUCGGGCGUCUCCGUUCGCGGCCGGCGAAGGGGAAUUCGGGCGGGAUCGGAGAGGACUCGGCACAGCUCGGCUUUCUUCGCGCCCGCCUCACCCGCCUUCGGGCGGGAUCGGAAAAGACCCGAGCGAGCUCGGCAUUCUUCGACCCUCUGGGCCGGACCGCUCGGGGACUCGGCCGUGUUCGGGCGGGCUCGGCUUCCCCACCCCGUCUGUCAGGUACCGCUUCGGGCCGCGUUUCUACGGGCUCGGCCGGGCUCGGCUGCGUCCUGCCCUGGGAUUGGCCAGCCGGCAGGAAACGCGGGCCGCGCUCGCCGGGAACCACCGAUCGCCUUCGGACGAGGCCUGGGAAGACUCGGGACACUUCGGGCACCAUCGGAAGCGGUUCGGAAACGCUCGGUUCCGCCCGCGGAACACGUUCGGAAGCGCUCGGGCGAGCUCGGCACCCCGCCGGAGAGCGCUCGAGUGACCUCAGAGGACCGGGUCGUGUGUCCCCCCCCACACACACCCCGGACCCUCCUCAGCGGCCCUCGGCGGGGGGGAGCGGCGGCCGCCGAGGCCCGCUCGGGCGGGCUCGACUCCCCCCGCCCGCCAGCCGCCUCGGAUGGAGGACGCCGACUCGGCGGCGAAGCAGCUGGGCUUAGCGGAGGCGGCGGUAGUGGCGGCGGCGGCCGCAGUGGCGGCGGCGGCAGCUGCGGCGGUCGCGGAAGAACCCGAGCAACAGCAGCAGCAACAGCCGCCGCAAGCGGCAGCCUCGGAGUCGGAGGCGGAGCCCGAGGAGGAGGAGGAGGAGGCGGAGGCGGCGGCGCAGGUGACGGUGAUGGCGGCAGAUGCCGAGCACAUCGAGAUGGGAGCCGAGCCCCUGCCGAGCGCCGACGAGGCCGCCGCCGCCUUCGCAGAGGUCACCACAGUGACAGUAGCCAAUGUCGGUGCCUCCGCAGACAAUGUUUUCACUACAUCUGUGGCAAAUGCAGCUUCAAUUUCAGGACACGUGCUGUCUGGGAGAACAGCCCUCCAAAUUGGGGACAGCUUGAAUACUGAAAAAGCCACUCUCAUAGUGGUUCACACAGACGGCAGCAUUGUAGAAACCACAGGGUUGAAGGGGCCAUCAGCACCUCUCACACCAGGACCGCAAUCUCCUCCUACCCCUUUAACAUCCGUCCAAGAAAAAACUGGAACCAAAUAUAACUGGGACCCGUCUGUGUAUGAGAACGAGCUCCCGGUGAGGUGCCGGAAUAUCAGUGGCAUUCUGUAUAAAAACAGACUCGGCUCAGGAGGCCGUGGUAGGUGCAUUAAGCAAGGGGACAACUGGUACAGCCCCACUGAAUUUGAAGCCAUGGCGGGACGAGCCAGCAGCAAAGACUGGAAGAGGAGCAUCCGCUAUGCUGGGAGGCCACUGCAGUGCCUUAUUCACGAUGGGAUUUUAAAUCCUCACGCUGCCUCUUGUACUUGCGCCGCUUGCUGCGACGACAUGACUCUGAGUGGCCCUGUACGACUCUUCGUACCAUAUAAAAGGCGGAAAAAAGAAAACGAAAUGCCUGCAACCCCAGUGAAGAAGGAUUGCCCCAAAAACAUCACUCUGCUUCCUGCCACAGCUGCUACUACAUUCACCGUGACUCCUUCUGGACAGAUCACUACCUCCGGUGCUCUGACAUUUGACCGUGCAUCGACAGUGGAAGCCACAGCAAUCAUCUCGGAAAGUCCCUCCCAGGGCGAUGUUUUCACUGGAGCCACUGUCCAAGACACCAACGUCCAGCAGCCUUGCCGGGUCAAUCACCCAGAACCUCACUACCCAAGCUACCAGGACAACUGCCAGAUUUCACCUUUUCCUGAAGCUGCCCUGCCGACGUCUCAUCCCAAAAUUGUGUUGACCUCCCUCCCUGCCCUGGCGGUGCCCCCCACAACCCCCACCAAAGCCAUAUCCCCUUCGGUGGUGAAUGGGCUGGAAGUGACGGAGCAGCGGAGCUGGCUGUACUUGGAGGAGAUGGUCAAUUCAUUGCUCAACACUGCCCAGCAGCUGAAGACUCUCAUUGAACAGGCGAAACAGGCCAGCUCCUCCUUCCGCGAGGCUGCUGUCACGCAAGCAAAAAUUCAAGCUGAUGUGGAGAGGAAAGAGGCACGAGUGUGCAGCAAGAGACCUUGAAGAAAUGUGUGUGGGAAGACUUUGCUGAGAACUGAGAACCCCUAUGACAGUCCUUGCAGCGUCUUUGAUAUUCUUUGCCACGUUGUCUCUGCUAAACUCUUCUGUACGCUGCAUCCUUGAUGUGCAGUGGUUUUUGGAACGGUUGUUCAGAGCCUGUUCCCCUCACCCUCUGAUCCAAAUCCAGCUCACUUCAGCGUGCUUCUUGCUUCUUCUUGCCCCGGGAGUGGGGGUUAAAACCACUCCUGUGUAUCGAUUAAAGCGCUGACUUUACAAGGUGCAAGGAUGAGCACGUGUUUGUUUCCAGAGGAAGUCCCUUUCCAGGAACUAUUGAAUGCCCAGUCAAACAACUUGUGUGUCUUACCGUUCUUAUUGUGUAAUGGGUACCCGACAGUUUUGUAUUUUGAUAAAAACACUUGCUCAUGGUGGUAUUUUUUAAUAUACAAAUAACAAUGCUCAAGCUCACGGCUGUGUGCUAGCUUCUGGAACCAUCUGGAUGAUAUUACAAGUAGCUAUUUCUGAAUUCCUUCUAGUGAACUCCAUAUUUGGAAAAAACUCUGGGUUUCUGGGUACAGGGCUGCCAUUGGACGUAAUCACAAUAAAUGUCAAAUAAUUGGCUGUCUGCUUUUGUGUCGGUCGAAGGUGCUUUUCUGAUUUCAUGACUCUCCCCCUGAUUUGUAACGCAAGUCUCCUUCCCACCCUGAGUAUGAGUGCGGUCAGACUGCUUCUUCUGACAGUUAAGGUAUAUGAGAGGGAGAAAGAGGUGUCUUCUGACUUUGGUUGGUGUUGAUUUUUGCUGGACCAAUGUAAUACAAAGGAAGUAGGUGCUUUGUCACUACUUUCUGUUAGUUACACCGACAGAACUUCUAAGGGCUAACGAACGGGGGGGAAUCUUCUCGCCACCUCCUCCGUUUGCAUGAGCAGAGAUGGUGAGCACAGCAGUGUGGGCGCUUCCUUGUGGGAAAGCCACCAGUUUGCAGCAUUUCUGUGCAGCGGCGUGUUCCUAGGGAUGUAGGAGCGAACAACUGUGACAUCGUAUCAGAGCUGCAGAGCAAAGGCAGGACAGGUUAAAUUGGAACAGAGCUGUAGACUCAGCUCCUCCUGGAAGAGUGACUUAGUACCUAGCAGGGUUAGAGAAAUCCGUUCGGAGCAGGCUGCUCCCAACGGGAUACACAAGCUGCAUUGCCGUGACUGUAACUAGUGGGUAUCUUUAGUUUUCACAGCGGCGCAGAGCUAUUCCCCCAGCUCGGUGUCUUGAGGACGUUGAGUUCAAGCACUUUUGAUCUUGUAGCUGCCAGUAGCUCUGACCAUAUCCCUCUGUCAUCCCUGCGAAGGAGGGAUGGCCUCUGCCUUCCGGCAGAAGAGCAAGACAGAGCGCCUGGGACAGCGCUGUCUCUGCCUGCCCUUAGAGGAAGCCUGAAGUGGCCCCAAGCUUAAGCAGAGUAGAGAAGAAGUGGCAAGAACAGCAAGCAUGUAGGAAAACUUACUUGUGCACUUCCUUUGCUUCAGUCUUCCUAAAGAGCAAUAAAUUAAGCAUUAAGAGUUUUUAAUUGCAGCUUAUAUGCUUUGUUGAUUAUUCCAAAUUGUUUGCUAUAUUGCAUUUCACUUAUUAUACUUAUUAUUUAAUGAGCUUUGGAGUUCAUUAAAUACCACAAAUGAGCCAGUCUGCUCCCAUAUAGCAGCAGUUUGGCUGGCUUGGCUUUAAAUACCAGAAGUUGUUCUCCAUACUGAGCAGUGGUAAGUGCUUGUGGGACUUGCAGAGCUCUGAACUGUGAAAGGCAGGCUUUUGCUCCGAGUUUUCUUUGAGCAGGGGAGGUGUUUGUGCUGCCUGUACGCUUACGUUCGCAUCUGUGAAGUCAGAGCAGACAUCACUGUUUCAUUCUGGUCACGCUUGCUAAUGAUAUUAUCCAGGACUAUUCAAAGGAGUCUUGGGAAUACAUUAUUCCCCUCAUUUAUAUCAUUUUGAAGGUGGAAAUGCCAACAUCAGAGAGGGACUGUGGCAGGAAGGGGAUCUGCUAUGUGUAGCAAGGGAAAAACCAUAAAAAAUUAUAAGGGCAGCAUAAACUAGAAGCAUCUACAGUCACGUUUAUUCCUUAAGAUGGCAUGUCUAAUCUGAAUUUUGCAGGAGGACUGGCUCCCUAGUUUCAGUUCCAAACACAUGGCGAUACCUAGACACAGAGUCCUCAAAAGCGACAGGGGGGCUGAACUGGGAAGUGCUGAGCAUUUAGGCAUUAGGCUGUGCAGGAGUGGAGUAUAAAUGCCUGUCUUCAUAGGUGAUUAUAGAACAUACGGAAAAUUACCCUUGCCUUCCACUCUUCUCUCAUGCCUGACAUGAGGGGUUUUUCUCUCUGCUUCCCUACUGUCCGAUUACAGCUGUGUAACGCCCCGUGUCAGGGCCCAGUGACACCUUAGCUGAUCUGAAGAAACUGUAGGUCAGAUUCCAAGUGCCGGAGCUAAAGGCUUCACCAAGAGAGUUUUUCUUGCACGUAAUUUUGUAAUUUGGAAGUCUUUGCAUGCAUGCUGCUGCUGUUUUUGUCCUUUUUAAUUUCUGUAUGUUUGUUUAAGGAUCAUGGUUUGCUGGGCAGAUUUCAGGACUGAGGAUCUCUUCCAGAUUUUGUCUCCAUCUUUGCCACAAGUUAUUUUGAUGCCCCUGGGCAAAUCCUUGGCCUCCCUGGGCCUCAGAGCCGGCUCUUUAAAAUAAGGAUAACACUUCCUUCACAGGGGGCUCGCACACCAGUUUGCAAAGCGGUAGGAUCUCUGGGUACAGGGCUGUGUAAAGUAGCCUCGGCCCUGUAAGUCCUAGAAAUAAGGGCAAUUUGUAAACCUGAAAUCUACAAUUCCCACAUUUAUGAAAAUCUUCUGCAAUAAUUUCUUUUGAAACAAAACUGUUCUAGAGUCUAAGAAAGUGGUUAAAAAUACCUUCCCUGUUGUGAAUGCUGUCUGCAGUAGCUCCUGUGCCUGCUGCUGCUGAGAGCUCCUUAAUUAAAAAGCAGAGCCCUCACAGAGUUAGUUCCAGACGUGAAGCUGACGGUUUAAGAAACGUUGAUGGCCGUAAGCCUUGUGCUUUCCGUGUGUAAACACGAGGCGCAGGUGGUGCUCAGCCUGCGUACGGCUUUAUGUCGGCAGGCACCAAAUACGAGUUGCAUUUAUGUUGCCUGGAAGGGACCGACAUUCUGAAAGAAUAACAAACCAUAAGCUCCCCAGCUCGGUGUUCACAUUAACUCCUAAAAUCCGUCAUGUUUAUUGCAAUAUAUGAAAAUAUCAAAAUAUUUGUAAGCUUCUUCCAGACUGCAGCAUUUUGUGGGGGGGUCAUUAAAUGCAACUGCUCUGCCAAAACUUCAUGCGGCCGUAAGAGGAAGCUCUCCGCUGUCGUUAUGCAUUAGCUCGUGGCUGAGUGCGUCUGAUCCGUCGGUUCUAUCGGAACGUUGGCUUUACUGCAUUUUUUGGUUUAGGGAAAAACAUUUAGCAGGAGAGUGAGCGGGGCAGCAAAGGCUCCAUGUCUUUUACGAGAGAGAUUUGACAACUUGCAGGACUGGCCCGGAAGGGAUGAAGACAGGACUUCACACAGAGGUGUGAGUGCUUCGGCAGUGCUAUUUUUUUUUUGAGCAUGCACGAAGCCAUCAGAUAGACUUUAUCAGAUAAACUUUAGGAGGGGGAGAAUACAGGAACUCACCCAAUUCUGUACCAGAAGAUGUUGCUGGAAGAUAAUAAAGACAUUCGGGAAAUGUGUUAAACAGUUUUUCUGUAAAAAUUUAAAAGAAUCAGUGUCGAAAUCUGACAAGUGUUUUAACUGAAAUAGCCCUCUUGUAACGCAGUGAUGCCUUUGGAGCCCAGCCCAUUUGAAGACAAGGUGGAAGAUUAAAUCAGCUAACAGCUGGACCAUCUGCCUUCUUUUUUAGAAAGAUUAAAACAAUUCUGGUCUAGAGAGUACAAAAUUAACCCAAAGAGGGUCGGGCAUUUCAGAAAUGUAGCUCUAGUAAGCAAAUAAAGGUUUGUGCGCUCCAAAGCAGCAGUGAAGACAGUUGAGAAUUGGUGGUUAUCGGUUUUGUGAGAGAUCUGGAUGUGUCUGGCUUGACCCUCUCUCUUAAUCACACCUUUGCUUUCUCCAUGGUUUCUGUAUGGCUUGAAUUCUUCACGCCAUGGGCUGUGCAGAACCAGCGGACUCGCUGGGCGGACAGAUGGCAAGGAGAGAGAAGGGGGUUAAAUGUGUGGGUUUGGGGGCUGAGAGCAGAGGUGGGGGAGCUGCUGUGGCUCAGACAAGGGCGGAGGUGGCUGGGCUUCCUCUUGAUGUCUUUCUCAUUGGCGAUCGCCCCGGAGAACAGGGUCAGCCACGCUGGCAGAGGGUGGAGUGGAGUCUGGUGGUGGGAAGGGUUUUAACUGUGGAGCUGCAGCACUUUCACAGAACUGGAAAUCAGCAUGCUCAGCCCUGGCACUGCCUCUGCGUGGGCUGUUGCAGAGGGGAUGGUGCCGGCUGGGAUUAUGUGUGCAAAGGGUUUCAAGCUGGGUUGAAAUGCCAGCUCACCGCAUGCUUUGGUGUCUGUAUUUCCACUUUCUUCACUAAAAAGAAGUUUAGAAACAUUAUGCAGUUUUCCUAGGCCAGCACUCUUAACGUGGGUCAUUUGUCUUUCACUUAACAGUGGAAAACUCAGUUUAACCUUUCCUGAAGAAUCCAGUUUCCUGCCAGCCCAGUUCUCCGCCUGCGUGCAGGCAGGCAGAGGGCAAAGGCUGCGGCACGAAGCAUUGAGUCCCAGCUUCUCCACGGCCAGUGCUCACUGACAUUAGCGAUUCUUUCAAGAAUCAAGGUCAUUUUCUUCCUGAGACACAGCAGGAUUGACUCUUAGCCCAGAGGCCCCAUCGCAAGCUUGCCGGUACAUUCCCUGCCUUCACAAGAAUGCUUACGGCUUGGACACAAUUCUGGUUUUCAAAACAGUACUUUUGAAAUGUCCAUACACGCGUUGCACGCUUCGCCUCCGCAGUGCGGGAAGCAUCGGGGAGGCCGUGCCUUGGUCCUGUCUUGCUAAUUAGCCUGGUCUUGCCUAUUUGUCAACUAACAGCAGAACCCAGUCACACCCCUCACAGCGGGCAGCACGAGGCUUCCCUGCCACCUCCUCCAGCUCCCUAGUUUUUUUUUUGUUUGAAUUUGUGUCAUGGUAAUAUAAAGGUUUUGAAGAUGAUGAUUUCAUAGGAGGAUAAAUACUGAUGUCAGGUCACAGAAACCCUUGUUAAAUUAAGCUUUUAAUCUCCUUAUACGUUGGGUCACAGUCACUCCUGGAUAAACCCACUUUGCCUGAAGGUGGGGCUUCGGGUUUUUUCUUACUUUUUAACUGUUCCCAAUAAAUUUAAAUCAGGGUUAGCACAUAAUCAAAUCGGGAUCGGUUUUGAAUGCUUUUGGUGUAGGGCUCCCAUCUCAGGCGCGUUGACUGCUGAGCAUGGCGAGGCCGUAGGUGGAGCGGCACCCGGUUGGACUUGCACUGGUUCGGAGUCAAUCUGCAGCACGCCAGAGGUGUGCUUCAAAAGUCACCUCCAGAGGACUGCUUAAAUCAAAAACUGUUCAAAAGUACUUCUACGCUUUUAUUAAAAGGAGGAAUAAUGGUGACUAUUGAUGCUGAUUCUAAAGUCUUGAAUGUGUUACUUUUGUUUGGGUUCUUCCCCCUAACCCGUUCUGUUGGGCUGUGCCAUCCCUUUGGACUCUCUUGCCUGUUAGCGGAUUAGGAUCACCAGACUUGACCCAAAAUUUGGCCCAAGAAGAUGGCACUUGACCCCAUUACUUCAGCAUUUUCCUCGUGUUUCCUUUGCUAACUUCUUAGGUUCUCAUGCGGGGGGUGCAGUUCCCUUGUGGCAAUUGAGCCACCUGUUUUAGGAAGGGGUGCUUGACCGGAUGGAGCGGGGAGAGUGGGGUUUGAGUAGAUGCUGUACUUCACUGGCAGUUUGUCACCUCAGGCUUCUUCAUCUGUCUCCACAUCAGGUCAUAGUGUCCCUCUCUUAGAAGGGAGGAGUGAGUUUCCCCUCUGUCCUCUUGCAACUGCAGUUUUGGGCUUGCAAGAAGGAAGCUCAGUGUCAGGACCCUCCAUCCAGAGCACCCUUUUCAACCCCUUGCGUCAUACCUGGGCUGUGAAAUGACAAGUCUGGUGU